UACGGGGGGGUGCGAGCGUUGUCCGGAAUCACUGGGCGUAAAGCGUGCGCAGGCGGUGAUGUAAGACAGAUGUGAAAUCCCCCGGGCUCAACCUGGGAACUGCAUUUGUGACUGCAUCGCUGGAGUGCGGCAGAGGGGGAUGGAAUUCCGCGUGUAGCAGUGAAAUGCGUAGAUAUGCGGAGGAACACCGAUGGCGAAGGCAAUCCCCUGGGCCUGCACUGACGCUCAUGCACGAAAGCGUGGGGAGCAAACAGG
Molecule: ribosomal RNA, 255 nt
Filed under: uncultured bacterium
Lineage: Bacteria
Description: partial 16S ribosomal RNA
Rfam family: Bacterial small subunit ribosomal RNA
Source: RNAcentral